GAUGAAGAACGUAGCGAAAUGCGAUAAGUAAUGUGAAUUGCAGAAUUCAGUGAAACAUCGAAUCUUUGAACGCACCUUGCGCUCCUUGGUAUUCCGAGGAGCAUGCCUGUUUGAGUGUCAUUAAAUUCUCAACCAUUAUCAACUUUUGCUGAUAAUGGCUUGGAUGUGGGGGUCUAUUUUGCUGGCUUCUCAGAUAGUCAGCUCCCCUUAAAUGCAUUAGCCGGUGCCCCGCGUGGACUGUCUAUUGGUGUGAUAAUUAUCUACGCUAUAGACAUCUGCAAUCAUAUGGGUUUGCGCUGCUUCUAACAGUCUGUUGAUUCAGACAAUACAUGACAAUUUGACCUCAAAUCAGGUAGGACUACCCGCUGAACUUAAGCAUAUCAAUAAGCGGAGGA
RNAcentral lists this unclassified non-coding RNA (395 nucleotides) under soil metagenome. Its description in RNAcentral is "partial contains 5.8S ribosomal RNA, internal transcribed spacer 2, and large subunit ribosomal RNA". The stretch from base 1 to 120 matches the Rfam family "5.8S ribosomal RNA", at positions 35 to 154 of the family's 154-position model. The record is from RNAcentral.